UCAAGUAAUUAAGUGCAUGUGGUGGAUGCCUUGGCAGUCAGAGGCGAUGAAAGACGUGAUAGCCUGCGAAAAGCUCCGGGGAGGCGGCAAAUAUCCUUUGAUCCGGAGAUGUCUGAAUGGGGGAACCCACCUACUUUAAGGUAGGUAUUGCAACAUGAAUACAUAGUGUUGCAAGGCGAACGAGGGGAAGUGAAACAUCUCAGUACCCUUAGGAAAAGAAAUCAAUUGAGAUUCCCUCAGUAGCGGCGAGCGAACGGGGAUCAGCCCAUUAAGUUAUGUGUGUUUUAGUGGAACGCUCUGGGAAGUGCGAACGUAGAGGGUGAUAUUCCCGUACACGAAAGGGCACACAUAAUGAUGACGAGUAGGGCGAGGCACGUGAAACCUUGUCUGAAUAUGGGGGGACCAUCCUCCAAGGCUAAAUACUCCUGACUGACCGAUAGUGAACCAGUACCGUGAGGGAAAGGCGAAAAGAACCCCUGUGAGGGGAGUGAAAUAGAUCCUGAAACCGCAUGCAUACAAGCAGUGGGAGCACCUUCGUGGUGUGACUGCGUACCUUUUGUAUAAUGGGUCAGCGACUUAUAUUCAGUAGCGAGGUUAACCGUAUAGGGGAGCCGUAGAGAAAUCGAGUCUUAAUAGGGCGUUUAGUUGCUGGGUAUAGACCCGAAACCAGGCGAUCUAUCCAUGAGCAGGUUGAAGGUUGGGUAACACUAACUGGAGGACCGAACCCACUGUCGUUGAAAAGCCAGGGGAUGACUUGUGGAUAGGGGUGAAAGGCUAAUCAAGCCUGGUGAUAGCUGGUUCUCCCCGAAAGCUAUUUAGGUAGCGCCUCGGACGAAUACCAUAGGGGGUAGAGCACUGUUUCGGCUAGGGGGUCAUCCCGACUUACCAAACCGAUGCAAACUCCGAAUACCUAUGAGUACUAUCCGGGAGACAGACUGCGGGUGCUAACGUCCGUAGUCAAGAGGAAAACAAUCCAGACCGCCAGCUAAGGCCCCAAAAUCAUAGUUAAGUGGGAAACGAUGUGGGAAGGCAUAGACAGCUAGGAGGUUGGCUUAGAAGCAGCCACCCUUUAAAGAAAGCGUAAUAGCUCACUAGUCGAGUCGGCCUGCGCGGAAGAUGUAACGGGGCUAAAACUAUGUGCCGAAGCUGCGGAUGUAUACUUUGUAUACGUGGUAGGGGAGCGUUCUGUAAGCCGAUGAAGGUGUGUUGAGAAGCAUGCUGGAGGUAUCAGAAGUGCGAAUGCUGACGUGAGUAACGACAAAACGGGUGAAAAACCCGUUCGCCGAAAGACCAAGGGUUCCAGUCCAACGUUAAUCGGGGCUGGGUGAGUCGACCCCUAAGGCGAGGCCGAAAGGCGUAGUCGAUGGGAAAAUGGUUAAUAUUCCAUUACUUCUGUGUAAUGCGAUGAGAGGACGGAGAAGGCUAAAUCAGCCUGGCGUUGGUUGUCCAGGUGAAAGGAUGUAGGCAUGUAUCUUAGGCAAAUCCGGGGUACUCUAUGCUGAGAUCUGAUAGCAAGCUGUACUUGUACAGCGAAGUGGUUGAUGCCAUGCUUCCAGGAAAAGUCUCUAAGCUUCAGUUACACAGGAAUCGUACCCGAAACCGACACAGGUGGUCAGGUCGAGUAGACCAAGGCGCUUGAGAGAACUCUGCUGAAGGAACUAGGCAAAAUGGUACCGUAACUUCGGGAGAAGGUACGCUGUUGUUGGUGAUGGAACUCGCUUCCUGAGCUGACGACAGCCGCAGAAACCAGGCCGCUGCAACUGUUUAUUAAAAACAUAGCACUCUGCAAACACGAAAGUGGACGUAUAGGGUGUGAUGCCUGCCCGGUGCUGGAAGGUUAAUUGAUGGGGUUAGCGUAAGCGAAGCUCUUGAUCGAAGCCCCAGUAAACGGCGGCCGUAACUAUAACGGUCCUAAGGUAGCGAAAUUCCUUGUCGGGUAAGUUCCGACCUGCACGAAUGGCAUAAUGAUGGCGGCGCUGUCUCCAGCAGAGGCUCAGUGAAAUCGAAAUCGCUGUGAAGAUGCAGUGUACCCGCGGCUAGACGGAAAGACCCCGUGAACCUUUACUGCAGCUUGACACUGAACUUUGACCUUACUUGUGUAGGAUAGGUGGGAGGCUUUGAAGCUGGAACGCUAGUUCCAGUGGAGCCGUCCUUGAAAUACCACCCUGGUAAUGUUGAGGUUCUAACUCUGUCCCGUGAUCCGGGACGAGGACCGUGUCUGGUGGGUAGUUUGACUGGGGCGGUCUCCUCCUAAAGAGUAACGGAGGAGUACGAAGGUGCGCUCAGCGUGGUCGGAAAUCACGCGUAGAGUAUAAAGGCAAAAGCGCGCUUAACUGCGAGACCCACAAGUCGAGCAGGUACGAAAGUAGGUCUUAGUGAUCCGGUGGUUCUGUAUGGAAGGGCCAUCGCUCAACGGAUAAAAGGUACUCUGGGGAUAACAGGCUGAUACCGCCCAAGAGUUCAUAUCGACGGCGGUGUUUGGCACCUCGAUGUCGGCUCAUCUCAUCCUGGGGCUGAAGCAGGUCCCAAGGGUAUGGCUGUUCGCCAUUUAAAGAGGUACGCGAGCUGGGUUUAGAACGUCGUGAGACAGUUCGGUCCCUAUCUACCGUGGGCGCUGGAAAUUUGAGAGGAUCUGCUCCUAGUACGAGAGGACCAGAGUGGACGAACCUCUGGUGUACCGGUUGUGACGCCAGUCGCAUCGCCGGGUAGCUAUGUUCGGAAGGGAUAACCGCUGAAAGCAUCUAAGCGGGAAGCCUACCUCAAGAUAAGAUUUCCCUAGGACUUUAUGUCCUCUAAAGAGCCGUUCGAGACUAGGACGUUGAUAGGUUGGAUGUGGAAGCAUAGUGAUAUGUGAAGCUGACCAAUACUAAUUGCUC
This 2876-nucleotide ribosomal RNA is filed under the name Acinetobacter baumannii 24845_9. Its description in RNAcentral is "bacterial LSU rRNA". It matches the Rfam family "Bacterial large subunit ribosomal RNA". Lineage: Bacteria; Pseudomonadati; Pseudomonadota; Gammaproteobacteria; Moraxellales; Moraxellaceae. The record is from RNAcentral.